CCUACGGGAGACAGCAGUGGGGAAUAUUGGACAAUGGGCGAAAGCCUGAUCCAGCCAUGCCGCGUGUGUGAAGAAGGCCUUCGGGUUGUAAAGCACUUUCAGUGGGGAAGAAAGCCUUGGGGCUAAUACCCUCGAGGAAGGACAUCACCCACAGAAGAAGCACCGGCUAACUCCGUGCCAGCAGCCGCGGUAAUACGGAGGGUGCGAGCGUUAAUCGGAAUUACUGGGCGUAAAGCGCGCGUAGGCGGUCUGAUAAGCCGGUUGUGAAAGCCCCGGGCUCAACCUGGGAACGGCAUCCGGAACUGUCAGGCUAGAGUGCAGGAGAGGAAGGUAGAAUUCCCGGUGUAGCGGUGAAAUGCGUAGAGAUCGGGAGGAAUACCAGUGGCGAAGGCGGCCUUCUGGACUGACACUGACGCUGAGGUGCGAAAGCGUGGGUAGCAAACAGGAUUAGAUACCCCUGUAGUC
RNAcentral lists this ribosomal RNA (465 nucleotides) under Vreelandella stevensii. RNAcentral's name for it is "partial 16S ribosomal RNA". It matches the Rfam family "Bacterial small subunit ribosomal RNA", at positions 338 to 795 of the family's 1533-position model. Lineage: Bacteria; Pseudomonadati; Pseudomonadota; Gammaproteobacteria; Oceanospirillales; Halomonadaceae. The record is from RNAcentral.